AGAGAGAGACAUGCGCGCAUAUCAAUAAGCGGAGGAAAAGAAACUAACUAAGGAUUCCCCUCAGUAACGGCGAGUGAAGCGGGAAGAGCUCAAAUUUGAAAUCUUCAAGGGUUCUACCUUUACGAAUUGUAGUUUAAAGAAGUGUUUUCUGUUGGAGUUUUGGUAAAAGUUCUUUGGAAUAGGACAUCAUAGAGGGUGAGAAUCCCGUAUUUGACCAUUAUUUCCAACUUUGUGAUACACUUUCAAAGAGUCGGAUUGUUUGGGAAUGCAGUCCAAAAUGGGUGGUAAAUUUCAUCUAAAGCUAAAUAUUGGCGAGAGACCGAUAGCGAACAAGUACCGUGAGGGAAAGAUGAAAAGAACUUUGAAAAGAGAGUUAAACAGUACGUGAAAUUGUCAAAAGGGAAGCGUUUGACACCAGUGUUGUUUUCUCGAAAAUCAAUUAAAAAAGGCAGGAUUUUGUGUUGUAUUGACUUUAUCAGCUUUCUGCACUCUUUUCUUGUCUUUUUUAAUGCACUUUUCGUUUAACAAGUCAACAUCAAUUUCUUUUGUUGUAAAAGGGUCAUUGGAAGGUGGCUUUCUUUUCGGAGAAAGUGUUUAUAGCCUUUGGCCUCUGCAAUCGGAGAGAUUGAGGUCUGCAGCGUAGAUCCCUCGGGGUUAGAUACAUUUGUGCUAAGUUAUAGCCUUUCAUAGACAACUUGUUGACUAUGAUCAGUCAUGUAGCUUACUCGCUUAUGCUAUUUUACCUACGCUUAGGAUGUUGAUGUGAUACUGCGAGCA
RNAcentral lists this ribosomal RNA (777 nucleotides) under uncultured Neocallimastigales. Its description in RNAcentral is "partial large subunit ribosomal RNA". It matches the Rfam family "Eukaryotic large subunit ribosomal RNA", at positions 23 to 639 of the family's 3401-position model. The record is from RNAcentral. Lineage: Eukaryota; Fungi; Neocallimastigomycota; Neocallimastigomycetes; Neocallimastigales.